UUACGGUCACAUCACGUUUAAACACCGGUUUCCGCACGAUCACCGAAGUUAAGCAACGUCAAGCCUGGUCAGUACCUAGAUGGGUGACAGCUUGGCGAAUAUCAG
Acanthosepion pharaonis is the source of this 105-nucleotide non-coding RNA. Lineage: Eukaryota; Metazoa; Mollusca; Cephalopoda; Sepiida; Sepiidae. The record is from the annotation of a GenBank genome assembly.